This 30-nucleotide non-coding RNA is filed under the name Rattus norvegicus (Norway rat). Lineage: Eukaryota; Metazoa; Chordata; Mammalia; Rodentia; Muridae. The record is from RNAcentral.
UAAUGAUAGUGUCUUUUGCCUUACAGAAGU